This 491-nucleotide ribosomal RNA is filed under the name uncultured bacterium. RNAcentral describes it as "partial 16S ribosomal RNA". It matches the Rfam family "Bacterial small subunit ribosomal RNA", at positions 29 to 507 of the family's 1533-position model. The record is from RNAcentral.
AGUGAACGCUGGCGGUAGGCCUAACACAUGCAAGUCGAACGGCAGCACAGUAAGAGCUUGCUCUUACGGGUGGCGAGUGGCGGACGGGUGAGGAAUACAUCGGAAUCUACUUUUUCGUGGGGGAUAACGUAGGGAAACUUACGCUAAUACCGCAUACGACCUACGGGUGAAAGCAGGGGAUCUUCGGACCUUGCGCGAUUGAAUGAGCCGAUGUCGGAUUAGCCAGUUGGCGGGGUAAAGGCCCACCAAGGCGACGAUCCGUAGCUGGUCUGAGAGGAUGAUCAGCCACACUGGAACUGAGACACGGUCCAGACUCCUACGGAGGCAGCAGUGGGGAAUAUUGGACAAUGGGCGCAAGCCUGAUCCAGCCAUACCGCGUGGGUGAAGAAGGCCUUCGGGUUGUAAAGCCCUUUUGUUGGGAAAGAAAAGCAGCAGGUUAAUACCCCGCUGUUCUGACGGUACCCAAAGAAUAAGCACCGGCUAACUUCGUG